Molecule: ribosomal RNA, 2308 nt
Filed under: Escherichia coli
Lineage: Bacteria; Pseudomonadati; Pseudomonadota; Gammaproteobacteria; Enterobacterales; Enterobacteriaceae
Description: partial 23S ribosomal RNA
Rfam family: Bacterial large subunit ribosomal RNA
Source: RNAcentral
CGUGUACGUACAAGCAGUGGGAGCACAGAGCAAUCUGUGUGACUGCGUACCUUUUGUAUAAUGGGUCAGCGACUUAUAUUCUGUAGCAAGGUUAACCGAAUAGGGGAGCCGAAGGGAAACCGAGUCUUAACUGGGCGUUAAGUUGCAGGGUAUAGACCCGAAACCCGGUGAUCUAGCCAUGGGCAGGUUGAAGGUUGGGUAACACUAACUGGAGGACCGAACCGACUAAUGUUGAAAAAUUAGCGGAUGACUUGUGGCUGGGGGUGAAAGGCCAAUCAAACCGGGAGAUAGCUGGUUCUCCCCGAAAGCUAUUUAGGUAGCGCCUCGUGAAUUCAUCUCCGGGGGUAGAGCACUGUUUCGGCAAGGGGGUCAUCCCGACUUACCAACCCGAUGCAAACUGCGAAUACCGGAGAAUGUUAUCACGGGAGACACACGGCGGGUGCUAACGUCCGUCGUGAAGAGGGAAACAACCCAGACCGCCAGCUAAGGUCCCAAAGUCAUGGUUAAGUGGGAAACGAUGUGGGAAGGCCCAGACAGCCAGGAUGUUGGCUUAGAAGCAGCCAUCAUUUAAAGAAAGCGUAAUAGCUCACUGGUCGAGUCGGCCUGCGCGGAAGAUGUAACGGGGCUAAACCAUGCACCGAAGCUGCGGCAGCGACGCUGAUGCGUUGUUGGGUAGGGGAGCGUUCUGUAAGCCUGUGAAGGUGUGCUGUGAGGCAUGCUGGAGGUAUCAGAAGUGCGAAUGCUGACAUAAGUAACGAUAAAGCGGGUGAAAAGCCCGCUCGCCGGAAGACCAAGGGUUCCUGUCCAACGUUAAUCGGGGCAGGGUGAGUCGACCCCUAAGGCGAGGCCGAAAGGCGUAGUCGAUGGGAAACAGGUUAAUAUUCCUGUACUUGGUGUUACUGCGAAGGGGGGACGGAGAAGGCUAUGUUGGCCGGGCGACGGUUGUCCCGGUUUAAGCGUGUAGGCUGGUUUUCCAGGCAAAUCCGGAAAACUAAGGCUGAGGCGUGAUGACGAGGCACUACGGUGCUGAAGCAACAAAUGCCCUGCUUCCAGGAAAAGCCUCUAAGCAUCAGGUAACAUCAAAUCGUACCCCAAACCGACACAGGUGGUCAGGUAGAGAAUACCAAGGCGCUUGAGAGAACUCGGGUGAAGGAACUAGGCAAAAUGGUGCCGUAACUUCGGGAGAAGGCACGCUGAUAUGUAGGUGAAGUCCCUCGCGGAUGGAGCUGAAAUCAGUCGAAGAUACCAGCUGGCUGCAACUGUUUAUUAAAAACACAGCACUGUGCAAACACGAAAGUGGACGUAUACGGUGUGACGCCUGCCCGGUGCCGGAAGGUUAAUUGAUGGGGUCAGCGCAAGCGAAGCUCUUGAUCGAAGCCCCGGUAAACGGCGGCCGUAACUAUAACGGUCCUAAGGUAGCGAAAUUCCUUGUCGGGUAAGUUCCGACCUGCACGAAUGGCGUAAUGAUGGCCAGGCUGUCUCCACCCGAGACUCAGUGAAAUUGAACUCGCUGUGAAGAUGCAGUGUACCCGCGGCAAGACGGAAAGACCCCGUGAACCUUUACUAUAGCUUGACACUGAACAUUGAGCCUUGAUGUGUAGGAUAGGUGGGAGGCUUUGAAGUGUGGACGCCAGUCUGCAUGGAGCCGACCUUGAAAUACCACCCUUUAAUGUUUGAUGUUCUAACGUUGACCCGUAAUCCGGGUUGCGGACAGUGUCUGGUGGGUAGUUUGACUGGGGCGGUCUCCUCCUAAAGAGUAACGGAGGAGCACGAAGGUUGGCUAAUCCUGGUCGGACAUCAGGAGGUUAGUGCAAUGGCAUAAGCCAGCUUGACUGCGAGCGUGACGGCGCGAGCAGGUGCGAAAGCAGGUCAUAGUGAUCCGGUGGUUCUGAAUGGAAGGGCCAUCGCUCAACGGAUAAAAGGUACUCCGGGGAUAACAGGCUGAUACCGCCCAAGAGUUCAUAUCGACGGCGGUGUUUGGCACCUCGAUGUCGGCUCAUCACAUCCUGGGGCUGAAGUAGGUCCCAAGGGUAUGGCUGUUCGCCAUUUAAAGUGGUACGCGAGCUGGGUUUAGAACGUCGUGAGACAGUUCGGUCCCUAUCUGCCGUGGGCGCUGGAGAACUGAGGGGGGCUGCUCCUAGUACGAGAGGACCGGAGUGGACGCAUCACUGGUGUUCGGGUUGUCAUGCCAAUGGCACUGCCCGGUAGCUAAAUGCGGAAGAGAUAAGUGCUGAAAGCAUCUAAGCACGAAACUUGCCCCGAGAUGAGUUCUCCCUGACUCCUUGAGAGUCCUGAAGGAACGUUGAAG